This 254-nucleotide ribosomal RNA is filed under the name uncultured bacterium. RNAcentral's name for it is "partial 16S ribosomal RNA". It matches the Rfam family "Bacterial small subunit ribosomal RNA", at positions 524 to 776 of the family's 1533-position model. The record is from RNAcentral.
CACGUAGGGUUCGAGCGUUGUCCGGAAUUAUUGGGCGUAAAGAGCUCGUAGGCGGUGUGUCGCGUCGGCCGUGAAAACCUGCAGCUUAACUGUGGGCUUGCGGUCGAUACGGGCAUCACUGGAGUUCGGCAGGGGAGACUGGAAUUCCUGGUGUAGCGGUGAAAUGCGCAGAUAUCAGGAGGAACACCGGUGGCGAAGGCGGGUCUCUGGGCAUUACCUGACGCUGAGGAGCGAAAGUGUGGGGGGCGAACAGG